RNAcentral lists this ribosomal RNA (497 nucleotides) under uncultured bacterium. RNAcentral describes it as "partial 16S ribosomal RNA". It matches the Rfam family "Bacterial small subunit ribosomal RNA", at positions 28 to 507 of the family's 1533-position model. The record is from RNAcentral.
GAUGAACGCUGGCGGCGUGCCUAAUACAUGCAAGUCGAGCGAACGGACGAGAAGCUUGCUUCUCUGAUGUUAGCGGCGGACGGGUGAGUAACACGUGGAUAACCUACCUAUAAGACUGGGAUAACUUCGGGAAACCGGAGCUAAUACCGGAUAAUAUUUUGAACCGCAUGGUUCAAAAGUGAAAGACGGUCUUGCUGUCACUUAUAGAUGGAUCCGCGCUGCAUUAGCUAGUUGGUAAGGUAACGGCUUACCAAGGCAACGAUGCAUAGCCGACCUGAGAGGGUGAUCGGCCACCCUGGAACUGAGGCACGGUCCAGACUCCUACGGGAGGCAACAGUAGGGAAUCUUCCGCAAUGGGCGAAAGCCUGACGGAGCAACGCCGCGUGAGUGAUGAAGGUCUUCGGAUCGUAAAACUCUGUUAUUAGGGAGGAACAUAUGUGUAAGUAACUGUGCACAUCUUGACGGUACCUAAUCAGAAAGCCACGGCUAACUACGUG